GAGACGGCUUAUAGGGUUGGUUGGAAGGUUUGAAAUUAAUUUUCAUCCUGUAACAUAGCUGUAAUUGUACUAUAUGGCAUACUUCUGUUCAAUAAAGAACCUGGAGCACUUAAGAGCCCUGCUGAAGAGCUAUAACAUGCAAAGGGCUUACUUGGCUAAUUGCAGGGGAAAAAAAAAAAAAGAAAAUAUACUCUCUGUAUCUGCUCAUGAUCUAUUACCUUUCUUGCCAAAGCUGUGCCCUUUAAAUGUCAAUGGCAUAUUGACAGACUAACAUACUUCAUUUCUUUGCUUGACUCAGGUGAUGCCUGGACUUACUGCAUCAGUAAAAAUGAAUGGAUACAAUUUAAUCAUCCAUAUACUGAAAAACCAAGGUUAUGGCACACAGCUUGUGCCAGCGAUGAAGGAGAAGUGAUUGUUUUUGGUGGAUGUGCCAACAACUUGCUUGUCCAUCACAGAGCUGCACACAGUAAUGAAAUACUAAUAUUUUCAGUUCAACCAAAAUCUCUUGUACGGCUAAGCUUAGAAGCAGUCAUUUGCUUUAAAGAAAUGUUAGCCAACUCAUGGAACUGCCUUCCAAAACACUUACUUCACAGUGUUAAUC
Molecule: small RNA, 601 nt
Filed under: Pongo abelii (Sumatran orangutan)
Lineage: Eukaryota; Metazoa; Chordata; Mammalia; Primates; Hominidae
Description: retained intron
Source: RNAcentral